RNAcentral lists this ribosomal RNA (496 nucleotides) under uncultured bacterium. RNAcentral describes it as "partial 16S ribosomal RNA". It matches the Rfam family "Bacterial small subunit ribosomal RNA", at positions 28 to 506 of the family's 1533-position model. The record is from RNAcentral.
GAUGAACGCUGGCGGCGUGCCUAAUACAUGCAAGUCGAGCGAACGGACGAGAAGCUUGCUUCUCUGAUGUUAGCGGCGGACGGGUGAGUAACACGUGGAUAACCUACCUAUAAGACUGGGAUAACUUCGGGAAACCGGAGCUAAUACCGGAUAAUAUUUUGAACCGCAUGGUUCAAAAGUGAAAGACGGUCUUGCUGUCACUUAUAGAUGGAUCCGCGCUGCAUUAGCUAGUUGGUAAGGUAACGGCUUACCAAGGCAACGAUGCAUAGCCGACCUGAGAGGGUGAGCGGCCACACUGGAACUGAGACACGGUCAAGACCCCUACGGGAGGCAGCAGUAGGGAAUCUUCCGCAAUGGGCGAAAGCCAGACGGAGCAACGCCGCGUGAGUGAUGAAGGUCUUCGGAUCGUAAAACUCUGUUAUUAGGGAAGAACAUAUGUGUAAGUAACUGUGCACAUCUUGACGGUACCUAAUCAGAAAGCCACGGCUAACUACGU